Molecule: non-coding RNA, 189 nt
Filed under: Acidobacteriaceae bacterium
Lineage: Bacteria; Pseudomonadati; Acidobacteriota; Terriglobia; Terriglobales; Acidobacteriaceae
Also listed under: 1 other name
Description: 6S RNA
Rfam family: 6S / SsrS RNA
About the family: E. coli 6S RNA was the first non coding RNA to be sequenced, but its function was unknown until recently. It consists of 184 nucleotides that fold into an extended hairpin structure with a large single-stranded internal bulge. The 6S RNA specifically associates with RNA polymerase holoenzyme containing the sigma70 specificity factor.
Source: RNAcentral
ACCGGCCUGCAAAGCAGGUAGGACGGUCCACGCUGGUUGAACCUACAUUCAUUGAACAGGGAACUCGACUCGACAAUCGGCUCGGUGCGCAGUGUCCGCCAGUCCGGAAUGCCUAAAGAGCCGCGGCGGGUUCCCACCGUCUUAGGACGGGUUCACCGGCGCACCGUCUUACGGCCCAGUGGGUCGGUU